GACGGGAGAUGCAAGCGUUGUUCGGAAUCACUGGGCUUAAAGCGCGUGUAGGCGGUUUGGUAAGUACCUUGUGAAAUCCCGCGCCCCAAUCGCGGAACUGCUUGGUCUACUGCCAAACUCGAGGCUGGUAGAGGUGCCUGGAACUCUAGGUGGAGCGGUGAAAUGCGUAGAUAUCUAGAGGAACGCCCGUGGCGAAAGCGGGGCACUGGGCCAGUCCUGACGCUGAGACGCGAAAGCGUGGGGAGCAAACGGG
RNAcentral lists this ribosomal RNA (253 nucleotides) under uncultured bacterium. Its description in RNAcentral is "partial 16S ribosomal RNA". It matches the Rfam family "Bacterial small subunit ribosomal RNA", at positions 524 to 776 of the family's 1533-position model. The record is from RNAcentral.